This 3202-nucleotide long non-coding RNA is filed under the name Phocoena sinus (vaquita). RNAcentral describes it as "lncRNA (ENSPSNG00000012062.1)". The record is from RNAcentral. Lineage: Eukaryota; Metazoa; Chordata; Mammalia; Artiodactyla; Phocoenidae.
GAGACUGGUAGCGUGAAGGAUUUUGGCAUUCAGCCAGUGGAAGAUAAAGGAGCGUGUCGCCUUCCGCUUUGCUCCCUUCCUGGAGAAUCUGGGAAUGGGCCUGAUCAGCAGCUGCAACGCUCACCUCCGGAAUUCCAGUAGCUGCAACGUGAGAGUCUGAUGGUGACCAGGACAAUAACAAAGACCAGUCCUGUGGUUUUGAGAAGUUAGGUAGCUAAAAAAAAAAAAAAAAAAAAAAAAAUCAGACAAAAGUCCCAGUUCCCAUUGAAGAACCUAGCCUUUAAAAACUUGGAGUGGAGAAUUUAGGAAUUCGGAUCCUUGUAUAAGUGUAUUACCUUUGGAUCAGCUUUGAAAUCCUGGACAGGAGGAGCUGUGCUGUGCAUCCUGCAAGCCACGCAGUGGUUGAUUUCUGAACACACCAGAAAGUGCACAAGAACCCUGUACUGUCCCCAGUGCACAGGUGAGCAUCUGUGUGCUCAGCAUAUAAAGUUCUUUGGCUCCUCAGCCUUUCUGUCUGCCUGAUGUCAAGGGCUUUCUGGAUAACUGACCGUUUGGACAUAACUGAUGGUCAGGCCUUAACUGUUGGGCCUCAGUGGGACUGCACCUCUGAUCGCAGAGCCUCUGAUUUGGGCUUCUCCAAGACAAAUGAAAGUCAGUUAUGAGAUCUGGAUAUUAAUCAUUCCAAUCUGGGAAAGCCAAGAAAAAGAAUUCCCAGCUGAAUCUGGUAGGAGAAGCUCUGUGGUCUUGACGCCAAGAAGAAGAAAAGCUCAAAGCCACCAGUUUCCCAAAGGUCCAGCAUUUAACAAUGACUUCAGCGGAGUUGGGGACAUGGGCUAGCGUUUUGCUGAACAAAGCCCUGUUUCUUGCAACCCACCUGGUGGCAUAGGCUUAGCAGAUGAAUAACUUGGUUAUCCAGGCAGGCUGAGGAUUAAGUUAUGAUCCCUUGGGGAGGUAGCAGGGCCUUCUGCGACUAUGCACGAUCUUUCAGACUGCAGGAUUCAUAUCUGGAUGUAUUAUGCUGUGGACAACAGUUCGGUGGGGCGUUUUCCUACUCUGAGUUACUCGUGACCUAGCCAGUCCAUGGGUCUGACUUGGUUAUUGUGCCAGGCCACUACCUGCCUCCCAUUUUCGGGGCAGGAGUGAACUAUGGAAGAGCAUCAUGGCUGUGCAGGAGGCUGUGGUUUGAAAGCUGAGCCCAGAGGGGACCUUUUUCAGCCGCACUCACUAAUGUGAAUGGGUUAGUGCUAGGAGCCAAGGAGCAGGACUGGGUCAACUCUCAUCUGACUGUGCAGCAUCCUAUUGAAUGCCCCUGUUCCUUGGGUUGGGCAGUCACAGAGCUCCGUUGCAGUGAACAUCUAGACUGUCACCACCUUCUCUGCCCCUCCCAAAGGGCAGUCCUUUCCACUCAGUUCCCUUUGGACCUCUUGAAAACAAGAGCUGUCCUUUUGUUUUGGAAGUCAGGAAAUGGCCCCCAGAAACCCUCUGGUUUUAGGGAAUGGGAUAGGGGAGGAUGGGAAGUGUGAGCUGGGUAUCAAAACUACCCUCCACUUGACUCCCUGAUUGAAGUUUAUGAAGUGUAUAGGGGUGGGAGCCCCAAGGUGAGCGGUGCUGCUUUAUUUGAAAUGUUUUCUUACCUCAUUCUGUGCCCCAGUAAGGGGCCCAGCCUUUUCUGGCUUGGCCCCAUGUUCCUCCAGUCCCCUGCUCCAUGCCUAUCUGGUGCAGCUCAUCACCCCGGGUGCUGCCUGCCACUCUACAUUCACGCUGACCAGUUUCAGUUUCUCUCUUGAUGCUCCUACUUCUGAAGCCUGCCCAGUUUCCCUUUCCUUGGCUUCUCUUAAGUUUGUUUUGUUUUCUUGUUUUUGAGAGAGAGAGCAGAAUCUUUCUUAUGGCUCCCUCUAUUGGGAUUAGGAUGGGAAGAGAAAGUAAUUUUUUGUAUAUGAAAAGCAGUGUCAUGCCUAAGCAUUUCUUGUGUAGGACUGCCUUGCUGGUAUGCCUUCCUGCUGUGUCUUGCUUCCUGAGGAGUUACAUCUUCCCACCUCCACUUGGAUACUGCCCCUUAGGACCUAAGCAGAAAAGCAGUAAAGGCUGAGUGACACAGGGACAGAGUAGGUUCUGAUCCAUUUUCUCUAACCCUUGCUGUGCAUGUAUCCUUCCUUAUCCCAGAAGGAACUGUUUGGACUGUAUGGACUGAUUCGGGUUACAUACUCUAGAGGGUUAAGGGAAGCAUAGUAAUAGGGCCUCAAGACUGUUUAUUAUUGCAUUUUCCCUCUAGAGUUGUCCCGCUCAGGGUGAGGGCCUAGCUACAUAUUGGUCUUCAAUCUAAGAGUUGUAAUAACUGUUUAAAAAGUCAAACCUUGGCAAGAACUGAAAUAAUUUUGGGUUAUCUGCCCUUGCCUUUUUUAGAGACAUCUCCUUCAGAGGGGAUGCAGAAGGAAAGGAGGGUCUAAGUGAGACUCUGGCCUACUUAAAUAUAAUAUCUGGGAAACAGGCUGAAGGUAAGGCCAUGGUCCACUCCUCCUUCAGAGAGGGAGCUCAGAUUGUGACAUUACUGUUUCCUUGGUCUUUUCUCCUGGUUAGAGGAGGGAGAAGUGGAAAUAGUUUUGAGUAAUGGUUGGUUCAUAUUACCUCCCUCUUGGUUUGUGUUUUUGUUUUUUUGCUCCCCAUUAUUAGGGCAGUAGCCCCCGGUCCUGGUUGGGUAUGAGGUGGGCUAGGUCCAACAGGUACCCUGAGGGGACAAACUAACUCUUCUUUUUUGGGGAGAGAAUGCUCCCUACCAUAUAGUUAACAGUGGUUAGGAAUUCUCCCUUUCCCUAUCUUUCCUCUUAACAGCAGAAUUCCUGUCCUAAUCUCCUCAAUUAAGUGUAUUGAUCACCCUGUAAUUCUAUUAUGUAUCUGAGUGUGUGUGUGUGUGUAUGGGGGGGAAGGGGUUCUUUACAAAUUUCUGUGGUUUGUGGCUUUUUCUUCCAUACAUUAGUUCACACCACCGCAUGCCCAGGGGCCAUUGCCUGGCAUUAUCGCAUGCUGGGAUCAUCGGGGAAGUGUAGUGAAGCUCACCAUUGUCCUUUGUUUUGGAGAGUCUUAUUUUUGCAUAAGUAGUCCAUCCUAUACAGGUUGCUAACUGUGUAUUCCCCUUGCCCCAUGGCUGCUGGUGUAAAUAAACUGCGUCUCCCCAUUGGUAAACAAUUACAAUAAACAAAAUUUU